UUUGGUGUAUUCUCUUCGGGUUCCUGUGCUGCCUACCUUUGGAAUGGUACUUAACUGGCAUGAAAUAUUUGUUCCAUCCAGAUCUCUUUACGGGGAUGAUGGUGGAUUUUAAUGCAACGCCUGUGUUCCACAUUAGUUUUUCAUCGUGAUGCUUUUGUGGUAUGCAUGUAGCUGUUGUUCUUUCGGAUGCGGUGCAUGCAACGAUCGUGGGUUUAAUUGUCCCGUUCGGUUUCUAAAUUUCUGGUUGCCUUAGAAUGACAUCUGCCCUGGUGCGUGUGAUGUUUUCCUUUUAGGGGGACAACACC
RNAcentral lists this unclassified non-coding RNA (305 nucleotides) under Macropsychanthus aureus. RNAcentral's name for it is "partial external transcribed spacer". Lineage: Eukaryota; Viridiplantae; Streptophyta; Magnoliopsida; Fabales; Fabaceae. The record is from RNAcentral.